RNAcentral lists this unclassified non-coding RNA (537 nucleotides) under Bartonella sp. Tel Aviv Rr. RNAcentral's name for it is "partial 16S-23S intergenic spacer". The stretch from base 488 to 537 matches the Rfam family "tRNA", at positions 1 to 48 of the family's 71-position model. The record is from RNAcentral. Lineage: Bacteria; Pseudomonadati; Pseudomonadota; Alphaproteobacteria; Hyphomicrobiales; Bartonellaceae.
CUCCUUUCUAAGGAUGAUCAAGAAUAGGGCUUUUUUUAAAAAAAAUCCCUCCCUUUUUGAUCUCAUUAGACACAAAGUUUAAACAUGUGUUUGUUUAAACUGUGCAUAUGACGCUAACUCUCAAUGAAUCCCUCUCACCAAAAAGAGACCCCUCUUUGCUAACAAAGAGGAUCCCCCCCCCGUCUCUUUGAGGCCCCUACCUCGGAUGAGAGAACUAUUUGAGGGCUUAGUGCUCAUGUGUUGAUACAAUAAAUGCAGGACAUGCCGUCUUCGUUUCUCUUUCUUCAGAUGAUGAUCCCAAGCCUUCUGGCGAUCUCUUAAAAUAAAGCCUAGCCUGCUUUACAAAAAAAACGGGCGUUUAGAUACUCUUUAAAUUCUUAUGAACCUUAAAGAGUAUCCAUUUAAAAAAGGCUUUAUGAAGAAAGCAUUUUAAGCUUUUCCAGUGAUUUAAGAUGAUACCGGGGAAGGUUUUCCGGUUUAUCCCGGAGGGCUUGUAGCUCAGUUGGUUAGAGCGCGCGCUUGAUAAGCGUGAGGGGG